UGGCCAACAUCUGGAAAAGAUGUAUCCCG
Molecule: non-coding RNA, 29 nt
Filed under: Rattus norvegicus (Norway rat)
Lineage: Eukaryota; Metazoa; Chordata; Mammalia; Rodentia; Muridae
Source: RNAcentral